Molecule: long non-coding RNA, 335 nt
Filed under: Mytilus galloprovincialis (Mediterranean mussel)
Lineage: Eukaryota; Metazoa; Mollusca; Bivalvia; Mytilida; Mytilidae
Source: RNAcentral
GUUAUAUAUAGAAUUUAUAAGAAUCCAAAAAUAGUUAAUUCCACUACGCGAUUGAAUGAUUUUGACGUUUGUGGUUCAACGUAUAUUGUAAUUCAUAAUAGAAAUAUAUCAUAAUGACAUAUAAUAGAACAAUAUCAUACUGACGGGAUCUUUUAAAGUACAGAGUCACGUUAUAAGAACAAAAGAAAUACAAAAGUCGCAAAUACAAAACAAACCACAAAAAAAUGAAAGCCAAUACAAACACAUUGACGAGAUGUAUAAGUACCGAGCCACGUGAAACGGAUAUCACAUGAAACCAUUCAACAGUAAAAGUAAUAUUAAUAAUAGAACAAAGA